Molecule: RNA transcript, 1941 nt
Organism: Rhodamnia argentea
Lineage: Eukaryota; Viridiplantae; Streptophyta; Magnoliopsida; Myrtales; Myrtaceae
Gene name: protein S-acyltransferase 11
Exons: 5
Source: RefSeq, a predicted model, not a curated record
GUUCGACCGAGCACCACCAACCAGUUCGUCGCCGGCUUUCGCUGACUCGCACUCGCACCUUCAUCAACUUCCUCUCUCUCUCUCUCUCUCGGAGACGUUGCUGCGGAGGAGGCGAAGACGGAGUCGUCGAGAUUGAUUCCCGACGGCCCUCGCCAUUCGGACCGCGAAGUCGGAAACACGAAGCUCCUGCUUCGUUCUUCGUUCGCCGAGGUGGCUGCGCAACAUGAUUGACUUGGCCGUGGAGCAUGUUGAAGCGACAGUCGGGGAGGAAAAUGAGAGAACAUGCUGGGGUUGUGGACUUCGCGUUCUUUUACCAUCCAAUGCACCUAUUUUCAAGUGUGGUUGGUGUGGAGCCAUAACAAAUCAGCGCUCACGGAAACGAAAAGAUAAGUCCCUGUGGUGGAGACGCUGGCGUGACCGGUGCUUUGUUAGUGUUGUGUCUUUGUUUAUGCUCUUCAUUUUGGGUGGUGGAGUUUGGGCAGUUUACCCUGUUGUUUUCUCCAUCAGCUAUUUCUGUGGCAUCUUCCACUCCCUUGUAACUGCAAUAUUGGCAGUAAGUACCUUUACAACCUUUGGCCUUGCUGCAUUUCGCUGUGCAGGCAGGCCUCCAGACAUACAGUGGGGCAGCUAUCCAGUGGUGGGGAAGGGGGACCUUGAGGAUUAUACCUUCUGUCUUUAUUGUUGUAAGCCAAAGUCACCGAGAACUCAUCAUUGUCGUUCAUGUGGAAUGUGUAUAGACUACAUGGAUCAUCACUGCCCAUUUAUAGGGAAUUGUGUUGGAGCCACAAACCAUCGGCACUUUAUUAUCUUCCUUAUCUCAUCUCUACUCAGCACCAUGUACGUCGCUAUCAUAUGUUCUUAUGCAGGGUGGCAUAUCUGGCCACCACUGAGGUUUACAUCUCUUGCUCGUCCAUACGCAUUUGGCAAUGGUUCUGUUUUAAGAGUGGUCAGAGAACUAUCUCUUGCUUUGUUAAGUUCUGCUACGCUAUUAUCGGCAAGGGGCAUUAUUCUUGUGUACUUAAUUGUCUCUAGUCUCUCUGUUCAGAUAGGCCUCACUGUCCUUUUAUGGCAACAACUUUGUUAUAUCUAUGAAGGGGAAACAUAUUUAAGCCAUCUAAGUUCAGGGGCAGGUGGUCGGUCUGGGGAGAGAGAUUGUCAGAAUCUCGUGCGUUUUUUCGGUUGUCCCUAUGCUUUCUUGAGAUAUUUGCCGAUUAACCGAAGUUCUCGGAAGAGACAUAGAAAAUGAGAUGGAAUGUGAAAAAAAUAACUCACUCUCUUGUGUCUUGAUUGAUUCUUCUCAAAGCAGUGGCAGUUCCACUGGGGUACGUCAGCUUGUACCUCAUGAUCAUCAUCUGUUUUGUUGGCAAAACGAAUCCAUGAAUCUCAAGGAGAGACAAGACGAAUGAACAGCCCGUUUACAUAGUCCGCAACGGCGGUUAAAUGUAAUAAACUCGAGAUUAUAAGCACCGGAUUCUCAACGCGGUGACGGCAACAAGCAAUACCUUUCUUAGGGGGACGAUGGAGAACAAGCCGACGAAGCUGACGACAAAGAGGAAGCCUAUGAUCCAACCGAGCGAGAGCUUCUUCACGUUGGCCGGCGUGUUCCCUCCAUCUGCUUGCGCCGCUAUGUGCGCACUCAUUCCCAACAGAUAGGUCGCCGUCCCACCUGUUAUUGGUACUUCUUAGAAAGCGGGCAAUGCCACGAAUAUUAAAAAGACCAAAGUUUGCGAAUUUGGGGUUCGAUAAACAUUCUAUUUGCCACAUGAUCACGUAGGAAAACAAUUUUCUAGAUCAGUUUCAGGUUCGCGACGUUGCUGGAAACUAUUUGAGUAUUUCUCUUUCUUUGUAUUGUAUGGAAAGAUUUCUAGUUGAAGAAGUCUACAUGUUUGAAUACGAUAAAACGAAAAUAUAUUCUUUAGUGCAAUGAGAAAACAAGUUAAA